GCAGGAUCAUUAGCUGGCAGGAUCAUUAGCUGGCAGGAUCAUUAGCUGGCAGGAUCAUUAGCUGGCAGGAUCAUUAGCUGGCAGGAUCAUUAGCUGGCAGGAUCAUUAGCUGGCAAGAUGAAAUACUCAGAGUAUUUUAUCUGUCUUUACAUUCUGAGUUCAAAUGCUGCAGAGGUUGACUUUGCCUUUCAUCCUUUCAGGGUCAAUGGAAUUAAAUGACUCAGUUUUGCUAGUAUUGCUAGCCAAAAAGAUGUUUUGGACAUGGAUCAAAAUUUUUUUAAAUGUGGGAAAAGUAUUCCAUGAAAAUUAAGAGUAUUUCUUUUGUCUAAGGAAGAUCAAAGGGAAGUUCGUUCUUUUUACUAUAAAACAGAACAUGAAGAGAAAUUCUUUUAUACCCUUGAAAGAGAAGUUGAAGAAAGCCCCAUCUCAACAUGAGGUAGGACGUGAUCACCACUGACUGACAGGUGUAGAACAUUUAGAAGUAUGUGAUUGGUUUUAAUGAAUGAGAACUAGGUAAAGAGAUGAGCAGAACUGGUGCAUGACACACCUCGCCAUUGACGAGCAGUUUGUGGGAGAAAGGAAUAAAAGGGUCACAGGUAGAGAAAUUGCUAUUGACACUGACCCCUGAUUUGUUGUCAACUUUUGUGGAAAGGAUGAGCAGGUGUAGAGAGGGGGGUGCAGAGGCUAAAUACCUCCUUUUACAUUAUUAUUGUUAUUUAUUUCAUUAAAGUGCUAACAACUGUUUCCUGUGGUGUAAAGUAUCAGUUGUGCUGUGGAAGGGGGUUGGUAAAUGUGUGUGUGUGCAAUAGACAAAGCCACACAAAAGCUACUAGCACACACACACACACACAAUAAUAGGCCGUGUGAGAGAGUGGGGGGGGGGAUGUGUAGAUGUGCAGCUGCCAUUAGUAUUCAAACGUGUGUGAGUAUGUGUAUGUGUGUGCACAUAGAUAUGGAGUUUUUCCAACUAUGUUCUAAACUUUCUUCGUAAAAGAUAUGUAACCUUAUCUACUGGAUAUGGGUGUUACUGACUUUGUAAUAUCAUGUGCUUGUCAAGCAAAUUUAUUACUGAAAUGGUGUUUGGUGUGUUAUGGUGGACAAUGGAUCAGAGAGCACAACAGUAAGAACUGAAUCGAGAGAAGCAGAGAAGAUAGAGGAAAAGAUAGGGGUAGAGGCAAAGGAAAAGAGACAGGAAUUAGGAACGAAAAGAGAAGAGAAAGGAGGAAGAAAAAAUGAGAUUAAUGCAAGAAAUAAAGUUAGAAGAUGUCGUAUGAUGAACGAUGAAGAUGAAGCUAAACGGGGAAAGAAUGAGAAUUAGUAAUGAAGAAAGGAGGCGAAAUAUUAAUGAUGAUGAUAGGUAAGAGGUAAGGAUAUCUUGCACAAGCCAGAAUGAGGAAACGGGUUAGAAUGGGAAAAUAUGACCAAAGAGAAUAAGAGAAGAUUUUCCAAGAAAUUAAUCUAAGAAUCAUAAAGGAAAGGACAGGAUGUUAUUGUCAAGUAGGGGAAAUGUUUAUGGAAGACAUAAAAUUGGUCAUGGAAUCUCCAUGGGUACUGUUAAUGAUUAUCAUUAUCUAUAUUAUACUAAAUUGUUAUCUGUAUUAUACUAAAACUCAAAGUUUGUCUGUUUUCCUGCCAUUUGAUUAAGAUGAUAAAGAUUACAAAUAAAAUAGUCAUUUCCCCCUUUAAGAAAAAAAAAAAAAAAUCAAGUUGCAAAAUGUCGACACUUCAAGGAGUUGUCUCAGCUCCCGCCGUCCAUCCUUUUUACUUUGCAAGUGCAGUAAAUUUGAAAGAUAGAAAUUCUCCCUAUAUUUCUUAUGAGAUAUUUUUGUAUCACAGGUACUUGAUAUUUUUUUUUUUCUUAAAGGGGAACAUUUCUAAUUUUAUUUAAAAUAAAAUAUUAAUCUUUAUCAUUUUAAUCAAAAAGCAGAAAAAAAUAACCCCCCCCCCAGAUUAUCUCUUUAUAGACGAAGAUCUGUUGCAAUGGGAGAAGAUGAAUCGAGAAUGGAAAAACUAACGACAAAUGGGAAGUACGUUAUAGUGCUACUUCAAUGUUGAAAGUGUUGCUUCAGUGAGGUCAAUUAAGUACGUCAUCAAGUACACUCGGAAGGGAAAUGACCAAGCUGCUGUUGAAAUAAACAAUGACAAUGAAAUUAGUCAAUAACUAAUGGCUUAGUUACAUUGGACCAUCUGAAGCAGUUGCAUCCAUUUUAGGAUUUUCAAUUCACGAAAGAGCACCUGUAAUAGUGAGACUGCAAAUUCAUUUACCAGGAUGAACAAAGAAUAUUGCUCAGAAACUAUGAGGAUAUAUAUAUAUAUAUAUGGCUGUCAAUGAGUGACAUAUGAGAACAACAUUGACAGAAUUCUUUUCAUUGUUCAUCCAUGAUGACUUUGCAAAAACAUUACUUUCUGCUGAAGUCCCCAUGUAAUUUCACUUGGAACAAAGAAGAAAGCAAGGAAUAAAAAAUUGACGGUCAUUCAUUUGAACAUUUUCAAAGGAGAAACACUCGGUUGUGCUUUUUGUUGUCAGACCAAAGCCAAGAGAACUGUAUUAUUUAAGAAUUUUGUUGAAUGAGGUUCAAAACAGUACUUUUUUCCUUUCCCGCUGCGCAUCAACAUUUUCAACUUGGAAUGGUUGUAACCCAACAGGUCAUGGCAGGGAAACGUUGUCAUCAGUUGGUAUUGGUACAUCAAUGAGAAAGCAUUGUUUUUCUUCAUGAUCUCUGACAACUAUAUCUGGCCUAUUGGCCUUAAUUUCUCUAUCUGUGUGUAUUGGCAUAUCCCAGAGUAUGGUUGCUUAUCAUUAUUAUUAAGGGUAGUGAACUAGUAGAAUUGUUAGUAUCUUCAACAAGAGGCUUAACAGCAUUACAUCUGUCUUCACGCUCUGAGUUCAAAUGCAGCCAAGGUUGACUUUGCCGUUCAUCUUUCCAGAGCCAAUGAAAUAAGUACCAGUUGAACACUAGGGAUGGGUUAACUGACCCCUCAAAACUGCUGGCCUUGUGCCAAAAUUUAGAAAUAAUUAUUAUUAUUAUUACAAAUAAAAAGAAAAAAUAUAUAAAGAAAAAAUACAAUAAAUGAAAUAAAGAAAUCAACAACAUCAUCAA
Long non-coding RNA from Octopus bimaculoides (California two-spot octopus), 3101 nucleotides. RefSeq lists it as uncharacterized. The record is from RefSeq and is a predicted model, not a curated record. NCBI's taxonomy places the organism in Eukaryota, Metazoa, Mollusca, Cephalopoda, Octopoda, Octopodidae.